This 253-nucleotide ribosomal RNA is filed under the name uncultured bacterium. RNAcentral describes it as "partial 16S ribosomal RNA". It matches the Rfam family "Bacterial small subunit ribosomal RNA", at positions 524 to 776 of the family's 1533-position model. The record is from RNAcentral.
UACAGAGGGUGCAAACGUUGUUCGGAAUUACUGGGCGUAAAGGGCGCGUAGGCGGCCUGCUAAGUCGAACGUGAAAUCCCUGGGCUCAACCCAGGAACUGCGUCCGAUACUGGUUGGCUUGAAUCCGGGAGAGGGAUGUGGAAUUCCAGGUGUAGCGGUGAAAUGCGUAGAUAUCUGGAGGAACACCGGUGGCGAAGGCGACAUCCUGGACCGGUAUUGACGCUGAGGCGCGAAAGCCAGGGGAGCAAACGGG